This is a long non-coding RNA of Dendrobium catenatum, 822 nucleotides long. RefSeq lists it as uncharacterized. The record is from RefSeq and is a predicted model, not a curated record. The transcript has 3 exons. NCBI's taxonomy places the organism in Eukaryota, Viridiplantae, Streptophyta, Magnoliopsida, Asparagales, Orchidaceae.
CAAAGCAGGAGGUGACAAAGAUCUCGGUUAGAUAAGGAAGUGGGUGCAAGUCUUGCGGCAGAAGAAUGGGAGCUCUGGAAUGCUUUAGGAGUUCGGCAAGGAAGGCUGGCUGGAGGGAUUUGAGAAGGGCUAGAUUAGAUCCAGUCGUGAACGAAGUCAGAGGAGAAGGCUUCGGAGUUUGCGAAUGGAAGCAUCGACGGGAGCUUGUGUGGUUCGGUCGUGGGGAAGUGUUCGGACAAGGGUUGGAAGGAGUGGGAAAGGUUGGGAAGAGGUCUUUGACGGAGUGAGGCUUGGCUCGACGUGAGAUUGAACAGCACAAUGGAAGAAAGAGGCGGAAGUGGUAUGAGAAUUUGGUCGCAGGUAAUGUCCGAGACAAGGGAAAUAGCGGUAGUUACUGGGUUGGACGGCAUGGGUGCAAGCACGGAGAAUAUCAACAGGCUCUGGGUUCACGUGGAAGAAGAGGUCAGAUGCUGUGGUUGGAGCGUGAGAAAUAAGAGGGAAGAUGGAUAGAGAGCAGCUAGGACAGGACAAGUGAUGUGAAAAUGGUUGCUGUGCAGAGAUUUUGAGCAGGAUUUGUGUGAAAUCUUAGCACAGUUCAAGCAAACAGGCAAUAAAAGAAGGGGCGGAUGGGUCUGAAAUGGCUUUUCCCUAUAUAGAUGAUUUCACGCAAGCAGGAAUUAAAGAAGUGGAAAGAUUUGAACAGUGCAAAGGAAGGAAGAUAGGCACAGAAUUCUGAAGAAGAAUCGCAGAAAUCACUGUAGCAGAUUUCGGCUAGGGAAGACUGAAGGGAGAAUUUCUGAAUUCUGUAGAAAAAUUGUGGCU